UUUUGACCACUUUUAUGGAUCAUAAUUAUGUUAGGCAUGUGUUUUAACUCUGUUUUCAAUGGUUUUUAAAGGGUUUUCAAUGUUUUAGAGUUUCAAAAGACUUUACAGGAAACUUGGGCAAAAGAUAUGCAAUUUGGAACAAAUGAGCAAUAUUGGAUAAAUGCAGACCAUCAGAAGUAUGACAAGCGAUGAAGACCUUCUCACCGUCUGAUAACCCCCAAAAUUUGAGACAACAUAGAGGAUCCAACCAGGUUUCUAAUGCACUUGGUUUGGAGACAAUCCAACGGUUAGAUCUUCAGAUACUCCCGAUGCAAAAAUGACAGAAAAUGCAGU
RNAcentral lists this long non-coding RNA (333 nucleotides) under Eutrema salsugineum. RNAcentral describes it as "long non-coding RNA (ESAL_LNC000414)". Lineage: Eukaryota; Viridiplantae; Streptophyta; Magnoliopsida; Brassicales; Brassicaceae. The record is from RNAcentral.